This 23-nucleotide non-coding RNA is filed under the name Cricetulus griseus (Chinese hamster). Lineage: Eukaryota; Metazoa; Chordata; Mammalia; Rodentia; Cricetidae. The record is from RNAcentral.
UGGCUAGCUGGCUGCUGGAGCGG